CACGGGGAAAAGAAGCUUAGAAUUCAUAAAACUUAUUGCUUAUGAUACAAUUCUGCCAUUACAAACACAACUCUACGCCAUUACAAACACAACUCUACAAUUUCAGAGCAACGUUAAUCCAACCCAAGAUAGGUGCCAAAAAGAAAAUUUAAAAGAUCAAAAGAACAAGGCAGAAAAGGAAAAAUUUUACAGAUUAUGGAGAGGCAAAAUAAGCUUGUUGUGUAUGUUUACCUCACUAUCCAUAUCUAUUACCUGGCAUCAUCAAUUCUCAAUUGGGAGAAAACUUCACUUGCCCAGAUGUUUGCACUGUCCUCCCUCAAGAUAGGCAUAUCAUCUUUUUCCACUGACAUGCUGAGAGUUGGAAAACGUUGAAUGUUAGGCAAGCCUAACAUGGCUGAAGCAUCAGUUGCACUGUCCUCAUGGGGCUCUCUCCAUGUCGCUGUUUGCUGCAAUUGCAAUGCAUACUCCAAGUCCCAUUGCACAUCUCCCAUAGCAGGCCUAUCAGCACCAUAUUCUUGCAGACACUUCUCUGCUAUCUCAGCAAAUUUUCUUAGAGAGUU
Molecule: unclassified non-coding RNA, 560 nt
Filed under: Hevea brasiliensis (rubber tree)
Lineage: Eukaryota; Viridiplantae; Streptophyta; Magnoliopsida; Malpighiales; Euphorbiaceae
Source: RNAcentral